Molecule: ribosomal RNA, 394 nt
Filed under: uncultured bacterium
Lineage: Bacteria
Description: bacterial SSU rRNA
Rfam family: Bacterial small subunit ribosomal RNA
Source: RNAcentral
UAUUUCACAAAGGGCGAAAGCCUGAUGCAGCAACGCCGCGUGAGCGAUGAAGGCCUUCGGGUCGUAAAGCCCUGUCCUCAAGGAAGAUAAUGACGGUACUUGAGGAGGAAGCCCCGGCUAACUACUUGCCAGCAGCCGCGGUAAUACGUAGGGUGCUAGCGUUAUCCGGAAUUACUGGGCGUAAAGGGUGCGUAGGUGGUUUCUUAAGUCAGAGGUGAAAGGCUACGGCUCAACCGUAGUAAGCCUUUGAAACUGGGAAACUUGGGUGCAGGAGAGGAGAGUGGAAUUCCUAGUGUAGCGGUGAAAUGCGUAGAUAUUAGGAGGAACACCAGUUGCGAGGGCGGCUCUCUGGACUGUAACUGACACUGAGGCACGAAAGCGGGGGGAGCAAACA